Molecule: small nucleolar RNA, 89 nt
Organism: Fukomys damarensis (Damara mole-rat)
Lineage: Eukaryota; Metazoa; Chordata; Mammalia; Rodentia; Bathyergidae
Gene: SNORA70
Rfam family: Small nucleolar RNA SNORA70
About the family: snoRNA U70 seems to be exclusive to mammals and is a member of the H/ACA class of snoRNA which contain H (ANANNA) and ACA box motifs. H/ACA box snoRNAs are involved in the conversion of uridines to pseudouridines (5-ribosyluracil) a constituent of structural RNAs (transfer, ribosomal, small nuclear, and small nucleolar).
Source: Ensembl
CUGCGUAAUGGCUGCAAACAGCAAAUUUCUUGGUAGUAUACAAAGCCUGUUGUUUGUAUGGGCUUCCCUCAGGGACCUUGGAGACAAUG